GCUAUUCUCCUGCCUCAGCCUCCUGAGUAACUGGGAUUACAGUGAAUAAACCAGCAGACCAAUUCAGAGCCCAUUUCAGUGGUGCAGGUGAGAGGUGUUAGAGACCUGGACAAGGUGGUGGCAGAUGAAGAUGGAGAGAAGAGAGAUAGGAUCUCGCUAUGUUGCCCAGGCUGACCUCCUGCCUCAUGCAUCCCUCACCAAGCUUAACAGUUUACAAAUGGGAAAUCCACAACAUUGGUCAAGAAGAAAAGGCACCAUGAAUGGGAAGACCGAAGUGCAGACAACCAGCUGGA
This 293-nucleotide long non-coding RNA is filed under the name Homo sapiens (human). RNAcentral's name for it is "HSALNT0352697". The record is from RNAcentral. Lineage: Eukaryota; Metazoa; Chordata; Mammalia; Primates; Hominidae.